Molecule: ribosomal RNA, 195 nt
Filed under: Triticum aestivum (bread wheat)
Lineage: Eukaryota; Viridiplantae; Streptophyta; Magnoliopsida; Poales; Poaceae
Description: partial small subunit ribosomal RNA
Source: RNAcentral
AUGGAAGGCCUCCUACACUGGGAUUUCAACCCUGGCCUAGCGGUGGCCGAUCAGGUACGUCGUCGGUUUGGAGAAACGGUCCAUUUCUCUCCAUCAAGUCCUACCAAGGAUUUUUUCUUGGUGGUUUCAUUCUCUUUGGCAUCCUUCCCUCUCUCUGAGGAAUCUGUGGGUGUGGCUCUCCAAUGAUGCAUUGGU